GACGAACGCUGGCGGCGUGCUUAACACAUGCAAGUCGAACGAAGAGCGACGGAAGCUUGCUUCUAUCAAUCUUAGUGGCGAACGGGUGAGUAACGCGUAAUCAACCUGCCCUUCAGAGGGGGACAACAGUUGGAAACGACUGCUAAUACCGCAUACGAUCUAAUCUCGGCAUCGAGGAUGGAUGAAAGGUGGCCUCUACAUGUAAGCUAUCACUGAAGGAGGGGAUUGCGUCUGAUUAGCUAGUUGGAGGGGUAACGGCCCACCAAGGCGAUGAUCAGUAGCCGGUCUGAGAGGAUGAGCGGCCACAUUGGGACUGAGACACGGCCCAGACUCCUACGGGAGGCAGCAGUGGGGAAUCUUCCGCAAGGGACGAAAGUCUGACGGAGCAACGCCGCGUGAGUGAUGACGGCCUUCGGGUUGUAAAGCUCUGUUAAUCGGGACGAAAGGCCUUCUUGCGAAUAGUGAGAAGGAUUGACGGUACCGGAAUAGAAAGCCACGGCUAACUACGUG
Molecule: ribosomal RNA, 510 nt
Filed under: uncultured bacterium
Lineage: Bacteria
Description: partial 16S ribosomal RNA
Rfam family: Bacterial small subunit ribosomal RNA
Source: RNAcentral